AAGCUCGUAGUUGAAUUUCGGGCCUGGCUGGGCGGUCUGCUUAACGGCAUGUACUGUCUGGCUGGGUCUUACCUCUUGGUGAGCCGGUGUGCCCUUUAUUGGUGUGCAUCGGGGAACCAGGACUUUUACCUUGAGAAAAUUAGAGUGUUCAAAGCAGGCUUAUGCCCGAAUACAUUAGCAUGGAAUAAUAAAAUAGGACGUGCGGUUCUAUUUUGUUGGUUUCUAGGAUUGACGUAAUGAUUAAUAGGGAUAGUUGGG
Molecule: ribosomal RNA, 258 nt
Filed under: uncultured Basidiomycota
Lineage: Eukaryota; Fungi; Basidiomycota
Description: partial 18S ribosomal RNA
Rfam family: Eukaryotic small subunit ribosomal RNA
Source: RNAcentral